Molecule: RNA transcript, 5931 nt
Organism: Globicephala melas (long-finned pilot whale)
Lineage: Eukaryota; Metazoa; Chordata; Mammalia; Artiodactyla; Delphinidae
Gene: FOXJ2
Gene name: forkhead box J2
Source: RefSeq, a predicted model, not a curated record
GCGCGGCGCGGAGGCCGGGGAGGAGCCGGGGCCUGCAGCGGAGCAGAGCGGAGCCCGAGCCCCGGCCGAGUCUUGACACCGUCCGUCCGCCUCCUGGUUCCCCGGGAGCCCGGACUGGCCGGAGCCCGAGCGGUGGAGGCGCGGGGAGUGCCACGCGCCGGCGGGAGCGGACGGGACGGGACCAGAGAAGAGGCGCGGCCGCCGCCGCAGCAGUGACGGGCGUCGGGAGCCGCGGCCUCCCAGCCCCAGCUGCCCAGGCCAGCUCCGGGAGAGCGGGGAGGGAGAGGACUCCUUUUACACUCAGCGGCAGAGGACACUCCCGGGAGAGAAAAGGACUCAGCUCUCAGCCUUUCAGGAGAGGGGAAGAGCUCCCCCCAACUUCCUUGUACCUAGACGGUGGAACAGGGCAGAGCCCCUCCGCUCAGAUCUCCAGCGGACAGAAAGAGCCCUCCACUCCCGACAGAUUCAGUUUGGGGGGGAGGGGGACUCCCCCAAGGGGGAGGAGACAACUCCCGGUUGGGAGAGGCUCCUCCCCUCGUCCCCAGGGUCACCGGCCGAGUGUGGGGACUGUGCCACCUUCCCCAGGUGGGACCGCCUUCUCCUCCCCCUCCCCCUCCCCCCGCUCCUCCUCAGGGGACCCAGUUCCCCUCCCCAGCUUGGGGGGCUCAGCCAAGUACAGGAAGAGCCACUGAGGAUGAGACUCUUCAUCUGCCUCUGAAGAGGGGAGUCCCUCCAACCCCAAACUCCAGUACCAAGUGGUCCUGUCCCUCUGCUGGGGGAGACUUGGAGACAGAACCCAGAAGUACCAUGGCUUCUGACCUAGAGAGUAGCCUCACCUCCAUAGACUGGCUCCCCCAGCUGACCCUCCGGGCUACCAUUGAGAAGCUUGGGAGUGCCUCCCAGGCUGGGCCUCCAGGCAGCAGCCGCAAGUGUCCACCAGGCUCACCCACAGAUCCUAACGCCACCCUGAGCAAAGAUGAGGCAGCCGUCCACCAGGAUGGCAAACCCCGAUACAGCUACGCCACCCUCAUCACCUAUGCCAUCAACUCCUCUCCAGCCAAGAAGAUGACCCUCAGUGAGAUUUACCGCUGGAUCUGUGAUAACUUCCCCUAUUACAAGAAUGCUGGCAUUGGUUGGAAGAAUUCAAUUCGGCACAACCUUUCUCUCAACAAGUGUUUCCGGAAGGUGCCCAGACCUCGGGAUGAUCCUGGGAAGGGCUCUUAUUGGACAAUCGAUACCUGCCCUGACAUCUCCCGAAAGAGAAGACACCCUCCCGAUGAUGAUCUAUCCCAGGACUCACCAGAACAGGAGGCAAGCAAGAGCCCACGGGGAGGCGUUCCAGGGAGUGGAGAAGCCUCACUGCCUCCCGAGGGGAAUCCUCAGAUGCCACUUCAGAGCCCCACAUCUAUUGCCAGCUACAGCCAGGGCACAGGGUCUGUGGAUGGCGGAGCAGUGGCAGCAGGGGCUCCAGGCCGAGAGAGCACCGAGGGUCCCCCUCCCCUGUACAACACCAACCAUGACUUCAAAUUCUCCUACUCAGAGAUCAAUUUUCAGGAUCUAAGCUGGUCCUUCCGCAACCUCUACAAAUCCAUGCUGGAGAAGUCCUCUUCGUCCUCUCAGCAUGGCUUUUCGUCUCUCCUGGGGGACCUGCCGCCCUCUAACAACUACUACAUGUACCAGCAGCCGCCGCCGCCGCCUCCGCCGCCGCCGCCGCCUCCGCAGCCGCAGCCGCAGCCGCAGCCGCAGCCGCAGCAGGCACCCGCCCAGGGCCCCUCCAAUGUGGGCGGUGCGCCCCCCCUGCACACCCCAAGCCCAGAUGGUUGUGCCCCACCAGGGGGGAAGCAAGCGGGGGCCGAGGGCUACGGGCCGCCCCCUGUGAUGGCCAUGCACCCACCCCCGCUGCAGCACAGCGGCUACCACCCUCAUCAGCACCAUCCCCCCACCCACCCUGCCCAGCCGCCGCCGCCGCCGCCACAGGCACAAGGCCAGGCUCCCAUCAACAGCACUGGCUUUGCCUUUCCUCCUGACUGGUGCUCCAAUAUUGACUCCUUAAAGGAAAGCUUCAAGAUGGUGAACCGGCUCAACUGGUCCAGCAUUGAGCAGUCACAGUUCUCAGAGCUGAUGGAGAGUCUGCGGCAGGCAGAGCAGAAGAACUGGAGCCUGGACCAGCAUCACAUUGCCAAUCUGUGUGACUCCCUCAACCACUUCCUCACUCAGACUGGUCACGUGCCCCCACAGGGGGGCUCCCACCGGCCACCCGCCCCCGCCCGCAUUGCUGAUUCCUGUGCCCUCACUAGUGGCAAGCAGGAGCCAGCCAUGAACCAAGUGAACUCUUAUGUGCACCCUCAAGCCCCCCACCUCUACCCGGGUCCAUCACCAAUGUACCCACUUGCCACCCAGGACUCAGCAGGAUACAAUCGCCCAGGUAAGAACCAGGAAGCUUGUUUCACCACCAGCGAGUCGUUUGGCUUUCCUAUGGCUCCGAACCUGCAUUCUUGGCUCUUUUGCCUGCACCUGCCGGGAGGGGGUGAGCCUUCCUGAUUCUCAAGGCUGGAGGGUGGUCCACCUGCUGGGGAGGUGUAUGUCAUGGGAGACUAAAGAAGACCGACUUACUUUAAAAUGAGCUCGUGCCUGCAGUGAUGAAAGGAAGUAGAAGCAUGGCUAUAAACAAAAGAUAGACGUGUAGAACAUUUAUGCCUGGCUUCGGAAUCUAAGUGGGAGGUACACUCAGACAAAUGACAUGAACAUGUUAUGCAAAUGUACCUGCUUUGUGCCCACAUCUGCUUUCUUGUCUUCCUGACCUCUAGUAUCAGGGUUCUGGGAUUGAACUACCUCUGAUGGUGAGAGUAGGUGGGGAGACCCUAAAUUGCCAUAAAUACUACAGAACGAACAGAUCCUUCACCUUUAAAUGCAUUUGAGAAAAAUCACUGUUAUCAUGCUGCCUAACCACAGUGUUUUCAAUUUUGGAGGUGACGUUCAUCUCUUUGUCCAAGUUUUCCUUUUCCGUGCGAUUUGUAUACAAAUUUCUGUAUUGCUAUUUCAUGUAAUAGUAUAUUCUGUAUGUUUUUUUGUCAUUAUUAUGUAGUCUUCCUAAGUAUAAUUUUUUUUUCUUUUUUUUUUGUUUUUUGGCCGCGCAUCGUGGCUUGUGGGAUCUUAGUUCCCCGACCAGCACACCACAUGGUCCCUCGGCCGCCAGUUCCACCUCCUGGGGCCAAUGAGGAGAUCCCCGAUGACUUCGACUGGGACUUGAUUACCUAGUGCAUCUGAGAGCCUGGCCAUCAGCCCAGGGCUGGGUGGUGAAGUCUGGCAGUGGGGAAAGCACAGUCCCAGCCCAUCCCUUCCGCCCUUGCCUGUAUAUAGAUAUAUAUCCUCUUUUUUUUUUUUUUCUUUCUCUGCCAGAGAAGCCACCGCAAGAUGCUGCCGAAGACAACCCCCUCUUUUCUGCCUCAUUCUUCCUCUUCCUUCUUGUUUUUUUCCUAAUUCUUUUAUUAUUAUUCUUAUUAUAUUAUUAUUAUUAUUAUUGGUUAUAUGCUGUCUCCGGUCUCCUGUCCCUCCACCAUGGACCACGUCCACCUCUUGCUAAUUUAAAAUCAUCUGGCUGGAAGGUGAGGCCAUGAGAGCCGCAGAGAAGGGUCUCAAACUUUGAUUUCCUUUUCGUUUUGGGAAAGUCAGCGCUAGUCCCACCUUUCAGCCCCACGUUGUUUUCUGUGGGUAUCCGUUGGAUCCAGGACUGGAGAAGCCACGUUAUCGAGUAGAAGGGAUCUAAAACACUGCUUGGCAACCAUGAAUUUGCAGGUUUUACUCAAUGGUGCUAAUUUUGUCCUCUGAGCUCUUCCUUGUCCCUUUAUCUCUCCAAUCCUACUUCUGCUGACCCUCAUUCCCCAUCAAGGGUGAGCGUGAUGGUGGUGGCAAUAAAAUCCUAGUGGAAUAGGAGGUCUGGGUUGGGUCGGGUAGAAUAUCAUAGAGGGAUGAUGGAAUAUAAGACAGUCAGAAAUUGCGUCUGUGCUACUCUGUCAGAUAAACUGCCAUUGGCUUAUUCCUGGCCUGUUCUCUGUAGGAGCUAGAGUCGGGCUUAGCCAGAACUCUGCUUCUCUGGUGGAAAUGAGGACAACUCUUCAGCGUAGGUUCAGCUUUUUGGAGAUGGUUUCAGUUGAACCAUUUUGACUUUUUAAACAUCAUUUUCUCUGGAAAUCAACUGUGGCUUUUAUUUGCAUUUACCAAUUAUCCUUUCACCCCCUUAUCUCAUUCAGCAAAUAUUAUUUUGUCCUCCUUUAUUUGUCUACUCAUCUCUUCCACCCAUGGUAUUUUCUUCCCCCAUUUUCUGGCAUUCUCAAGAAAGGAGAGUAACCCAUUACUCCUUGUAGUCUCACCACAGCCUAGGGCAAGACGGGAAUCUCUUUCCCACCCAUCAUAGCAGAACCAAACCUACACUACUGGUGGCAGGAGGGUGCGGGGAGGAGAGGGGAGCUGGCAUAGACGUGGGUGGAGAAUAUUUCAGUUAUUUAACAAUGUAGGCAAAUGCUUCUCUUGGAAUCCAGAUCAUUGGGGCUGAGGCUUUGGCAAUCAGGCUUUUGAGGGGUGAAGGGAAAUUGGUAGAGGGGAAUAAGUAACCUAAAGCAAAGAGUUCCAUGAGGGCCAAGGGAGACCGCCCCCGCCCAGAGAAAGGUACAGGGAUAACUUAACCUCCUUUAACAAGGAGUGGCCAUGAUUUAUUGCUGCAAAGUACUUAGUGUAUAUUUGAUAUUAAUCAUUGAAUCUUAGUCAUGAGAGGGGAGAACAAUUUUACUUCUGUUUUUAUUUUGCUGAAUGUUCACUUUCUCAAAGCUGCAGGACAAAAUGUACCGAAUGGACAAGGCCACUCUCUCUGUGAUUUCUGCUUUGUGUUCAUAUUCUUUUAUUUACCCAUGCUUUCUGCUCUCCUGCUUGUCCCCCUCAUCCGCCCCUUCCUUUCUUUGUAAGGGAUGCUAUAUGAGUUUGUUGAAGACGUCCAGUGAGGCUGAAGUCAGGGGUCAAGAAAGGGCAGUUAACUAAACAGCACUUUAUUUCUUUGAAGUUCUUUGUAAGAAGUAGGGGUGUGAGUGGUGUGAAUCCCCCAUGGUGUCGGAGGGCAGUUAGUGGGGUUGAAGUAUGCCGUAAGAUUUCCCCUUGGGGAAGGGAGAAUUUCUCUUGAGGGUGGUGACACGCCUUUGCCCAGUGUCCUUAUCUGAGGCGUGUCUUCCUUACCCUUCCAGUCAAGGUGCCUCCUACAUACAACGUCCCAUCUGUUCUCCCUAAGAUUCCCCCUUGACAAAUCAUCACUCUUUUCUAAACCCCUUUUCUACCCAGAUCCAUACAGGAUUUGCAAGGGUAGACUAAAUCAGACAUGUAAAUGUCUCUUGUUUAUAUUUCAUCUGUGUCUUCUGAAAACGAGGGUCAUUAAGAACUCUGGCAGGCAGCCGGAGUAACUGAAGUCUGGGGCUAGGGCUGGAGAUUGGCCGUCAGGCCUUCUGGGAUUUUAGCUCCUCUCCACUAAACCCCGCCUUGCUAAAUGGCACAGGACAAACCUGACCCUCUUUGGGCCUCGGUUUCCCCUACCCUCCAUGAAAUGGAAAGAAUCCUACUUUGUCUUGUUGGUCCAGCGUUGCUGGCCGUGAAAGUUUUGUCAUUGUUGUUGUCUUGGGUGAUGUGUGCGAAACUGCAGGAGCUCACUGCCUAAAAGAGGAAGUAAGGGAGAAAGUGGAGGAGAGGGAUGGAAGGAGCAAUUCGUUGGUAUUGAUCCGCCCAUCCCUGCCUUUCUCUCUUCAACCCCCACGUUUCUGGUUUGGUGAGUCCUUCAUACCACCCAUAAUGCUUUGCAUUGGUGCAGGCUGGGGCGGGGGGUGUAUGGUCUCACAAGUUGUUGUUGUUUGCAUGCUUUCUUAAUAAAAAAAAAAAAGAAUGUUUAUGGUUUUA